UACGGGGGGAGCAAGCGUUGUUCGGAUUUACUGGGCGUAAAGGGCGCGUAGGCGGCCAGCACAAGUCAGUUGUGAAAUCUCCGGGCUUAACUCGGAAAGGUCAACUGAUACUGUGCGACUAGAGUGCAGAAGGGGCAACUGGAAUUCUCGGUGUAGCGGUGAAAUGCGUAGAUAUCGUAAGGAAGACCAGUGGCGAAGGCGGGUCUCUGGACAGUUCCUGACGCUGAAGCACGAAGGCCAGGGGAGCAAACGGG
RNAcentral lists this ribosomal RNA (254 nucleotides) under uncultured bacterium. RNAcentral describes it as "partial 16S ribosomal RNA". It matches the Rfam family "Bacterial small subunit ribosomal RNA", at positions 524 to 776 of the family's 1533-position model. The record is from RNAcentral.